RNAcentral lists this ribosomal RNA (709 nucleotides) under uncultured bacterium. RNAcentral describes it as "bacterial SSU rRNA". It matches the Rfam family "Bacterial small subunit ribosomal RNA", at positions 59 to 768 of the family's 1533-position model. The record is from RNAcentral.
CAGUCGAACGGUGAAGAGGAGCUUGCUUCUUGGAUCAGUGGCGAACGGGUGAGUAACACGUGAGCAAUCUGCCCUUGACUCUGGGAUAACUGCGGGAAACUGUAGCUAAUACCGGAUAUUACCUUGGAAGGCAUCUUCUGGGGUGGAAAGAAUUUUGGUCAAGGAUGAGCUCGCGGCCUAUCAGCUAGUUGGUGAGGUAAUGGCUCACCAAGGCGACGACGGGUAGCCGGCCUGAGAGGGUGACCGGCCACACUGGGACUGAGACACGGCCCAGACUCCUACGGGAGGCAGCAGUGGGGAAUAUUGCACAAUGGGCGCAAGCCUGAUGCAGCAACGCCGCGUGAGGGACGACGGCCUUCGGGUUGUAAACCUCUUUUAGUAGGGAAGAAGCGACUGGGUUUUCCUGGGAGUGACGGUACCUGCAGAAAAAGCACCGGCUAACUACGUGCCAGCAGCCGCGGUAAUACGUAGGGUGCAAGCGUUAUCCGGAAUUAUUGGGCGUAAAGAGCUCGUAGGCGGUUUGUCGCGUCUGCUGUGAAAACUGGGGGCUCAACCCCCAGCCUGCAGUGGGUACGGGCAGACUAGAGUGCGGUAGGGGAGAUUGGAAUUCCUGGUGUAGCGGUGGAAUGCGCAGAUAUCAGGAGGAACACCAAUGGCGAAGGCAGAUCUCUGGGCCGUAACUGACGCUGAGGAGCGAAAGCAUGGGGAG